RNAcentral lists this non-coding RNA (24 nucleotides) under Xenopus tropicalis (tropical clawed frog). RNAcentral also lists the same sequence under 4 other names. Lineage: Eukaryota; Metazoa; Chordata; Amphibia; Anura; Pipidae. The record is from RNAcentral.
UCAAGUGUAGUAUCUGUUCUUAUC